RNAcentral lists this ribosomal RNA (253 nucleotides) under uncultured bacterium. Its description in RNAcentral is "partial 16S ribosomal RNA". It matches the Rfam family "Bacterial small subunit ribosomal RNA", at positions 524 to 776 of the family's 1533-position model. The record is from RNAcentral.
UACGUAGGGUGCAAGCGUUAAUCGGAAUUACUGGGCGUAAAGAGUGCGUAGGCGGUUCUUGAAGUCCGCUGUGAAAGCCCCGGGCUUAACCUGGGAAUGGCAGUGGAAACUGGAGGACUUGAAUUGAGCAGAGGGGGGUAGAAUUCCACGUGUAGCAGUGAAAUGCGUAGAGAUGUGGAGGAACACCGAUGGCGAAGGCAGCCCCCUGGGUCAAGAUUGACGCUCAUGCACGAAAGCGUGGGGAGCAAACAGG